RNAcentral lists this ribosomal RNA (335 nucleotides) under Acaulospora longula. RNAcentral describes it as "eukaryotic LSU rRNA". Lineage: Eukaryota; Fungi; Glomeromycota; Glomeromycetes; Diversisporales; Acaulosporaceae. The record is from RNAcentral.
UUGAAAGGGAAACGAUUGAAGUCAGUCAUGUUGGUAGGGAAUCAACUUGAUGGUAUGCGGGUUUACUCGUGUUCUUUUGAGUGCACUUCCUUACUUGCUAGUUAGCAUCAAUUUUGGUUAUCAUAUAAAAAUUGAGGGAAGGUGGCUUUUCUUCGGAAAAGUGUUAUAGACCUUGAUUAUUGUGGUUACCGGGAUUGAGGAUUGCAGCGGAUACCCUUUUGGGCUAGUCACCUUGCUUCUGAUGGUUACCCCGUCUUCGAUAGCUUGCUAACGUUGAUGGGAUUUAAUUAUCCAGAUGUUGAAGUGAUCAUAAAUUCGUUAAGGAUGUUGACGUA